This 465-nucleotide ribosomal RNA is filed under the name uncultured bacterium. RNAcentral describes it as "partial 16S ribosomal RNA". It matches the Rfam family "Bacterial small subunit ribosomal RNA", at positions 28 to 507 of the family's 1533-position model. The record is from RNAcentral.
GAUGAACGCUGGCGGCGUGCUUAACACAUGCAAGUCGAACGGAAAGGCUCCUGCUUGCAGGGGUACUCGAGUGGCGAACGGGUGAGUAACACGUGGGUGAUCUGCCCUGCACUUCGGGAUAAGCCUGGGAAACUGGGUCUAAUACCGGAUAGGACCACAUUUUGGAUGGUGUGGUGGAAAGUUUUUCGGUGUGGGAUGAGCUCGCGGCCUAUCAGCUUGUUGGUGGGGUAAUGGCCUACCAAGGCGUCGACGGGUAGCCGGCCUGAGAGGGUGUACGGCCACAUUGGGACUGAGAUACGGCCCAGACUCCUACGGGAGGCAGCAGUGGGGUAUAUUGCACAAUGGGCGCAAGCCUGAUGCAGCGACGCCGCGUGGGGGAUGACGGCCUUCGGGUUGUAAACUCCUUUCGCUAGGGACGAAGCGCAAGUGACGGUACCUGGAGAAGAAGCACCGGCUAACUACGUG